This 495-nucleotide ribosomal RNA is filed under the name uncultured bacterium. RNAcentral describes it as "partial 16S ribosomal RNA". It matches the Rfam family "Bacterial small subunit ribosomal RNA", at positions 28 to 507 of the family's 1533-position model. The record is from RNAcentral.
GACGAACGCUGGCGGCGUGCCUAAUACAUGCAAGUCGAACGCUGAAGGAGGAGCUUGCUUCUCUGGAUGAGUUGCGAACGGGUGAGUAACGCGUAGGUAACCUGCCUUGUAGCGGGGGAUAACUAUUGGAAACGAUAGCUAAUACCGCAUAAGAGUAGAUGUUGCAUGACAUUUGCUUAAAAUGUGCACUUGCCUCACUACAAGAUGGACAUGCGUUGUAUUAGCUAGUUGGUGGGGUAACGGCCCACCAAGGCGACGAUACAUAGCCGACCUGAGAGGGUGAUCGGCCACACUGGGACUGAGACACGGCUCAGGCUCCUACGGGAGGCAGCAGUAGGGAAACUUCGGCAAUGGACGGAAGUCUGACCGAGCAACGCCGCGGGAGUGAAGAAGGGUUUCGGAUCGUAAAGCUCUGUUGUAAGAGAAGAACGAGUGUGAGAGUGGAAAGUUCACACUGUGACGGUACCUUACCAGAAAGGGACGGCUAACUACGUG